RNAcentral lists this ribosomal RNA (906 nucleotides) under Bacillus sp. KSUM_32. RNAcentral's name for it is "bacterial SSU rRNA". It matches the Rfam family "Bacterial small subunit ribosomal RNA", at positions 24 to 913 of the family's 1533-position model. Lineage: Bacteria; Bacillati; Bacillota; Bacilli; Caryophanales; Bacillaceae. The record is from RNAcentral.
UCAGGACGAACGCUGGCGGCGUGCCUAAUACAUGCAAGUCGAGCGGACUUUAAAAGCUUGCUUUUAAAAGUUAGCGGCGGACGGGUGAGUAACACGUGGGCAACCUGCCUGUAAGACUGGGAUAACUUCGGGAAACCGGAGCUAAUACCGGAUAAUCCUUUUCUACACAUGUAGAAAAGCUGAAAGACGGUUUACGCUGUCACUUACAGAUGGGCCCGCGGCGCAUUAGCUAGUUGGUGAGGUAACGGCUCACCAAGGCAACGAUGCGUAGCCGACCUGAGAGGGUGAUCGGCCACACUGGGACUGAGACACGGCCCAGACUCCUACGGGAGGCAGCAGUAGGGAAUCUUCCGCAAUGGACGAAAGUCUGACGGAGCAACGCCGCGUGAGUGAUGAAGGUUUUCGGAUCGUAAAACUCUGUUGUUAGGGAAGAACAAGUACAAGAGUAACUGCUUGUACCUUGACGGUACCUAACCAGAAAGCCACGGCUAACUACGUGCCAGCAGCCGCGGUAAUACGUAGGUGGCAAGCGUUGUCCGGAAUUAUUGGGCGUAAAGCGCGCGCAGGCGGUCCUUUAAGUCUGAUGUGAAAGCCCACGGCUCAACCGUGGAGGGUCAUUGGAAACUGGGGGACUUGAGUGCAGAAGAGAAGAGUGGAAUUCCACGUGUAGCGGUGAAAUGCGUAGAGAUGUGGAGGAACACCAGUGGCGAAGGCGACUCUUUGGUCUGUAACUGACGCUGAGGCGCGAAAGCGUGGGGAGCAAACAGGAUUAGAUACCCUGGUAGUCCACGCCGUAAACGAUGAGUGCUAAGUGUUAGAGGGUUUCCGCCCUUUAGUGCUGCAGCAAACGCAUUAAGCACUCCGCCUGGGGAGUACGGCCGCAAGGCUGAAACUCAAAGGAAUUGA